UGAGCAGAAGCGUCAUGGGGCUCUCCUGGGCAGAAGCUAAGAGCCACCAUUUGUUCACCAUGCGCUCAUUUCCUGUCUCUCUGACAGGCUGCCAUGCUCCAGUUUGUAGAUGUCCAUCCACCUGUGAAGGGCUGAGCCAAGCCCUGGGCAUGGGGCUUCAUCUCCUGUGUCAAUUCAGGCAAGAGGAAGAGAGAGGAGGAAGCUUCCAGAUCCAAGCCAGAGGAGGUGGAUGCAGCACCCAUCGCCCACAGCUUUGGGGCCUGGUCCAGCUUCUACCUGGCCGAGACACCCAACCCCAACCCCACCCACAUGGGCAUGCAGAAGAGUCUGAGACGGUGCACACUGACCUGCGGCAGAGUUUCAGGCGCACGCACGUACCCAUUAGUUCCUGUGUAGGAUGAUAAAUGCAGUGAGAGCUUGAUGAAGAUUUUGUGAAUGAAUCAGCACAGAGCCCUUCUCCUUGGCCAGGUGGGUCUGAUACGCAACAAAGGACCUGACUUCUUCCAUUUAGCACCUCUGGGGGAAUCAGUUUGUUGAAGCUUCAGUGGGGCUAUAGAUCCACGUGAUUCUUUCUUGAGAAAGCUCCUCUUGCUCAGGAUUGAUCUUAAAAAGCAAAAAUUAGGGGAAAAAAGAAGGGGACUAACUUUUGCUGAAUUUUGGGAAAUGGGGAUAGCAAUGCUAGAAACAAAGGGUAGGCAAGGGCCUGUCAGCCACCCUGCAAGGGAGUUGGGCGGCCAGAGGAGCCCAGUCCACCCUGAGCAGAGCCGUGGGCUGUGAACGCAGCAGGUGAUAG
Macaca mulatta (Rhesus monkey) is the source of this 793-nucleotide non-coding RNA. The record is from RefSeq and is a predicted model, not a curated record. Lineage: Eukaryota; Metazoa; Chordata; Mammalia; Primates; Cercopithecidae.